RNAcentral lists this ribosomal RNA (363 nucleotides) under uncultured bacterium. RNAcentral's name for it is "bacterial SSU rRNA". It matches the Rfam family "Bacterial small subunit ribosomal RNA", at positions 29 to 353 of the family's 1533-position model. The record is from RNAcentral.
UCGAGAACAAGCCUACAGGAUGUAGACACGGGCGGCCUAGCCUAACACAUCCCAUAGUGAGUGCGGUCCGCCCCUAAAGGGGCCGAGACGUGGCAAGACAGGGUGAUGUAGUCAUGUAGCCAAUCAUCGCCUGGGAUCGGGGACCGACCUCAGGAGAUUCGGGGGUAAUACCUGCAUAAUGUCUCCGUGUCAUAAGGAACGGGGCUAAACGCUCUUGUAAGAGACCGUUUCAGGAUGAGUCCGCGUCCUAUUAGCUAGUUGGUAGGGUAACGGCCUACCAAGGCGACGAUGGGUAGCCGGUCUGAGAGGGUGAACGGCCACACUGGGAUUGAGAUACGGCCCAGACUCCUACGGGAGGCAGCA